RNAcentral lists this ribosomal RNA (380 nucleotides) under uncultured eukaryote. Its description in RNAcentral is "partial 18S ribosomal RNA". It matches the Rfam family "Eukaryotic small subunit ribosomal RNA", at positions 592 to 976 of the family's 1831-position model. The record is from RNAcentral.
CAAUAGCGUAUAUUAAAGUUGUUGCAGUUAAAAAGCUCGUAGUUGGAUUUGUGGCUGUCACGGGCGGCCUAUCACUUAGUGUUAGUGCUUGCCUGUGUCGCCAUCCUUGGGUGGAGCCCGUGUGGCAUUAGGUUGUCGUGCGGGGGAUGCCCAUCGUUUACUGUGAGAAAAUUAGAGUGUUCAAAGCAGGCUUAUGCCGUUGAAUAUGUUAGCAUGGAAUAAUAAGAUAGGACCUCGGUACUAUUUUGUUGGUUUGCGCACCGAGGUAAUGAUUAAUAGGGACAGUUGGGGGUAUUCGUACUUCAUUGUCAGAGGUGAAAUUCUUGGAUUUCUGAAAGACGAACUACUGCGAAAGCAUUUACCAAGGAUGUUUUCAUUAA